UAUAAAUAAUGUUAUUCCAGGCCAGAGCGAACGCAAAGUUGGUAAUAAUUCACAAUUAUAAGUUUCCAGAGUUAUCAAAAAUAACACGUAAGCAGUAGCGACUUCCGGCUAGAUGGCGCUUAUUUUUGUUACGAGCUUGUAAUUGCUCCGAAACACGAUAGCCUACAUAUUAUAUUAAUGCUGAAUUGUUAUUAUGUUAAUUAAUAUAUAGUUUAAUAAUUGC
This is a long non-coding RNA of Dendroctonus ponderosae (mountain pine beetle), 223 nucleotides long. RefSeq lists it as uncharacterized. The transcript has 2 exons. NCBI's taxonomy places the organism in Eukaryota, Metazoa, Arthropoda, Insecta, Coleoptera, Curculionidae. The record is from RefSeq and is a predicted model, not a curated record.